RNAcentral lists this ribosomal RNA (468 nucleotides) under uncultured bacterium. RNAcentral describes it as "partial 16S ribosomal RNA". It matches the Rfam family "Bacterial small subunit ribosomal RNA", at positions 28 to 507 of the family's 1533-position model. The record is from RNAcentral.
GACGAACGCUGGCGGCGUGCUUAACACAUGCAAGUCGAACGGAAAGGCCCUGCUUUUGUGGGGUGCUCGAGUGGCGAACGGGUGAGUAACACGUGAGUAACCUGCCCUUGACUUUGGGAUAACUUCAGGAAACUGGGGCUAAUACCGGAUAGGAGCUCCUGCUGCAUGGUGGGGGUUGGAAAGUUUCGGCGGUUGGGGAUGGACUCGCGGCUUAUCAGCUUGUUGGUGGGGUAGUGGCUUACCAAGGCUUUGACGGGUAGCCGGCCUGAGAGGGUGACCGGCCACAUUGGGACUGAGAUACGGCCAAGACUCCUACGGGAGGAAGCAGUGGGGAAUAUUGCACAAUGGGCGGAAGCCUGAUGCAGCAACGCCGCGUGCGGGAUGACGGCCUUCGGGUUGUAAACCGCUUUCGCCUGUGACGAAGCGUGAGUGACGGUAAUGGGUAAAGAAGCACCGGCUAACUACGUG